RNAcentral lists this ribosomal RNA (586 nucleotides) under uncultured bacterium. RNAcentral describes it as "bacterial SSU rRNA". It matches the Rfam family "Bacterial small subunit ribosomal RNA", at positions 338 to 916 of the family's 1533-position model. The record is from RNAcentral.
CCUACGGGAGGCAGCAGUGAGGAAUAUUGCGCAAUGGGGGAACCCUGACGCAGCAACGCCGCGUGGGUGAAGAAGGCCUUCGGGUCGUAAAGCCCUUUCGGACGGGACGAACGCUCCGCGGUGACAACCCGCGGAGUCUGACGGUACCGUAAGAAGAAGCACCGGCUAACUCCGUGCCAGCAGCCGCGGUAAUACGGAGGGUGCAAGCGUUGUUCGGAAUUACUGGGCGUAAAGCGCGUGUAGGCGGCCUUGCAAGCCAGACGUGAAAGCCCUCGGCUUAACCGGGGAAGUGCGUCUGGAACUGCUCGGCUCGAGUACGGGAGAGGGAGGCGGAAUUCCCAGUGUAGAGGUGAAAUUCGUAGAUAUUGGGAGGAACACCGGUGGCGAAAGCGGCCUCCUGGACCGAUACUGACGCUGAGACGCGAAAGCGUGGGGAGCAAACAGGAUUAGAUACCCUGGUAGUCCACGCUGUAAACGAUGGGCACUAGGUGUGGGGGGUAUCCACUCCUCCCGUGCCGCAGCUAACGCACUAAGUGCCCCGCCUGGGGAGUACGGCCGCAAGGUUAAAACUUAAAGGAAUUGACGG